UAUCUGGUUGAUCCUGCCAGUAGUCAUAUGCUUGUCUCAAAGAUUAAGCCAUGCAUGUCUAAGUAUAAGCAACUAUACUGUGAAACUGCGAAUGGCUCAUUAAAUCAGUUAUCGUUUAUUUGAUAGUACCUUACUACAUGGGAUAACCGUGGUAAUUCUAGAGCUAAUACAUGCUAAAAACCUCGACUUCGGAAGGGGUGUAUUUAUUAGAUAAAAAACCAAUGCCCUUCGGGGCUCCCGGUUGAUUCAUAAUAACUUAACGAAUCGCAUGGCCUUGCGCCGGCGAUGGUUCACUCAAAUUUCUGCCCUAUCAACUUUCGAUGGUAGAGUAGUGGUCUACCAUGGUGUCAACGGGUAACGGGGACAUUAGGGUGAGACUCCGGAGAGGGAGCCUGAGAAACGGCUACCACAUCCAAGGAAGGCAGCAGGCGCGCAAAUUACCCAAUCCCGACACGGGGAGGUAGUGACAAUAAAUACUGAUACAGGGCUCUUUUGGGUCUUGUAAUUGGAAUGAGAACGACGUAAAUACCCUAUCGAGGAACAAUUGGAGGGCAAGUCUGGUGCCAGCAGCCGCGGUAAUUCCAGCUCCAAUAGCGUAUAUUAAAGUUGUUGCAGUUAAAAAGCUCGUAGUUGAAACUUGGGCCUGGCUGGCCGGUCCGCCUCACCGCGUGCACUGGUUCGGCCGGGCCUUUCCUUCUGGGGAGCCUCAUGCCCUUCAUUGGGUGUGUUGGGGAACCAGGACUUUUACUUUGAAAAAAUUAGAGUGUUCAAAGCAGGCCUUUGCUCGAAUACAUUAGCAUGGAAUAAUAGAAUAGGACGUGUGGUUCUAUUUUGUUGGUUUCUAGGACCGCCGUAAUGAUUAAUAG
Molecule: ribosomal RNA, 866 nt
Filed under: Physcia aipolia
Lineage: Eukaryota; Fungi; Ascomycota; Lecanoromycetes; Caliciales; Physciaceae
Description: SSU rRNA
Rfam family: Eukaryotic small subunit ribosomal RNA
Source: RNAcentral